GAUCCUGGCUCAGGAUGAACGCUGGCGGCGCGCCUAACACAUGCAAGUCGAACGAUUAAAGCACCUUCGGGUGUGUAUAAAGUGGCGAACGGCUGAGUAACACGUGGGCAACCUGCCCCUCUCAUUGGGAUAGCCACGGGAAACCGUGGAUAAUACCGAAUACUUCGGGACUUCCGCAUGGAAGACUCGAGAAAGCUCCGGCGGAGAGGGAUGGGGCCCCGCGGGCCUGUUAGCUUGUUGGUGGGGUAACGGCCUACCAAGG
RNAcentral lists this ribosomal RNA (262 nucleotides) under uncultured bacterium. RNAcentral's name for it is "partial 16S ribosomal RNA". It matches the Rfam family "Bacterial small subunit ribosomal RNA", at positions 15 to 273 of the family's 1533-position model. The record is from RNAcentral.